RNAcentral lists this ribosomal RNA (497 nucleotides) under uncultured bacterium. RNAcentral describes it as "partial 16S ribosomal RNA". It matches the Rfam family "Bacterial small subunit ribosomal RNA", at positions 28 to 507 of the family's 1533-position model. The record is from RNAcentral.
GAUGAACGCUGGCGGCGUGCCUAAUACAUGCAAGUCGAGCGAACAGACGAGGAGCUUGCUCCUCUGACGUUAGCGGCGGACGGGUGAGUAACACGUGGAUAACCUACCUAUAAGACUGGGAUAACUUCGGGAAACCGGAGCUAAUACCGGAUAACAUGUUGAACCGCAUGGUUCAACAGUGAAAGACGGUCUUGCUGUCACUUAUAGAUGGAUCCGCGCCGCAUUAGCUAGUUGGUAAGGUAACGGCUUACCAAGGCAACGAUGCGUAGCCGACCUGAGAGGGUGAUCGACCACACUGGAACUGAGACACGGUCCAGACUCCUACGGGAGGCAGCAGUAGGGAAUCUUCCGCAAUGGGCGAAAGCCUGACGGAGCAACGACGCGUGAGUGAAGAAGGUCUUCGGAUCGUAAAACUCUGUUAUUAGGGAAGAACAAAUGUGUAAGUAACUAUGCACGUCUUGACGGUACCUAAUCAGAAAGCCACGGCUAACUACGUG